Long non-coding RNA from Ictalurus furcatus (blue catfish), 1490 nucleotides. RefSeq lists it as uncharacterized. The record is from RefSeq and is a predicted model, not a curated record. Lineage: Eukaryota; Metazoa; Chordata; Actinopteri; Siluriformes; Ictaluridae. The transcript has 3 exons.
UGAACAGGAUGAGCACACAAUGCACCCGCUAUUCAAGUGGUAAUAGUCCAGAGAACAUGGUUGCUAGGCAACUGAGAAACACAGAUGGGAAUCAUGUGCUAGCUUAAGAUAGGGGCUAGUGAUUUAGCUUGAUAGCACAAAGAGCUAAAGGGAAUUCGUCAGGUUCUAAGCUGUAUGUUUACAAAAAUAAUCGUUCUGCAAUGUAAAAAUAAGGACUGCCUUAAAAGAACCAUCCCAGUUAGACAAAAACCAACAUAAUGGGAAUGACAUUUCCAGCAGGACAGUAGGAGCGUUUAUAAAAGAUAUUUAACAAUGUUUUGAGAAAUCCUGACGGUUUUACUAAACUAAAAUAGCCAGGAAGUCCUUUUAUGGACAUUGUAAAAGCAGUAUAAGGAUAGAAACAAGACAGAAUUGUCCGAAAUAUCAACAUUUACCUCAGAUGUGUUGAUAAAUUACUAAAAAAUAAACUAAAAAAACCUUUUAACAGCUAAAAUUAGACUGAAACUACACAUAGCAUCAACUGCUAACUUCCAUUUUGAGAAACGUAAAACAUCUCUGAACUCGUGUAUUCAGAGCUGUCAGAAAUUGAUAUUUAAAAUCUGCAUUCUUAAUAAAAACCCAAAAUUUCAUCUUUGGAUGGUGUUAGAAUUAAAAUGUUCAUUUGGGUGUAAAUACCGUCUCAAGAGAAAGAGCUCGCAGGAAUGGAGGUCGAAAACACAGCAAUAAGCUCCAGAUUAUAUGAUGGUCAGAAAACGAAUGGACAAAAAUGCCGAUUUAGCUGUCUGACCCCUCGGAUUCCUCCACCCCGCCCCCCACCGGGGUCACAAACUCUGCUGUUGCUUUAAAGAUGGGAGCUUGUCCAAGGAAAACACAUAUCUCCAGGGACCAUCAUGCAAACGGGGAGCUGCAUGAAUAAUAGGAAGCUGUGUCCUGUGUGGUUUACUCAGGCCGUGGGUUUAACCGUUAAAUAGAUAAAUAAAUAAGAAUGAUAAACGGCCGCGGUAGCUCAGCGGUUAAGGUUGUGAGUCCAGAUGUUGGAGUAUUGGAGCUAGGAUCUGCGGUUUAAUUAGUUAUGGUUAAGUUAUUUAGUGGGUUCGUGAGUUAUAAACACAGAUCCAAGCCAAUCCAUUGCCCCUCAGGUUAAAUAACACAAAUCUCAGGAGUCUACUUUAGAUAUAAACAUGUUUGUUAGCGUUUACGCCACAGUGCUGUACAGGUACUAACUCCACAACAUUAAAUGUAACUAUAAACGGAUAAAAAGUUUAAAAAAAAAAAAAAGUUUUUGUAUAACAGCACGUCCCAGCGUGUUUCAUCCCUCACUACAUCUUAUUUCUCGACAUUUAUAUCAUCACCAGCCUUCCGUUCACAUUUCCUCUCUAACAAAAUGACUUCUGUUAGAUUCAUGAUGGAAUGACUUAUCUGUAAAAAUGUGCCUAAAUUAUUUUGUGAGCCAUGUGUACUGUAAAUAAAUAUUGAUCUUUAUUCAUAAA